RNAcentral lists this ribosomal RNA (301 nucleotides) under uncultured bacterium. Its description in RNAcentral is "partial 16S ribosomal RNA". It matches the Rfam family "Bacterial small subunit ribosomal RNA", at positions 509 to 807 of the family's 1533-position model. The record is from RNAcentral.
CAGCAGCCACGGGAAUACGUAGGGUGCAAGCGUUAAUCGGAAUUACUGGGCGUAAAGCGUGCGCAGGCGGUUAUAUAAGACAGAUGUGAAAUCCCCGGGCUCAACCUGGGAACUGCAUUUGUGACUGUAUAGCUAGAGUACGGCAGAGGGGGAUGGAAUUCCGCGUGUAGCAGUGAAAUGCGUAGAUAUGCGGAGGAACACCGAUGGCGAAGGCAAUCCCCUGGGCCUGUACUGACGCUCAUGCACGAAAGCGUGGGGAGCAAACAGGAUUAGAUACCCGCGUAGUCCCUGUCUCUUAUAC